CUCAUUUCUCCUCCCCCAAGCCCCCGCCACCACCCAGCCUCCCACCCGACUGCGCCGUCGCCCCCUGCUCACCCCUGCGCCGUCGGCCCCCCUCAUCCUCCCUGAGCGCCGCACCCUCCUCGGCUACUCCAUGUGCGCCGGCCGGCCGGCCGCCCUCCUCUUCCUCGAGAAGUCGAGAUCUCUCAGUAGCCCACGCGCCCCUCCCGCUCCCCGCACCCCCGAUCGCUCGGCGCGGCGGCGCGCACUGCGGCUGGCCCACCGACCC
RNAcentral lists this long non-coding RNA (265 nucleotides) under Panicum hallii. RNAcentral's name for it is "long non-coding RNA (PHAL_LNC000051)". Lineage: Eukaryota; Viridiplantae; Streptophyta; Magnoliopsida; Poales; Poaceae. The record is from RNAcentral.